UAGGGAAUCUUCGGCAAUGGACGGAAGUCUGACCGAGCAACGCCGCGUGAGUGAAGAAGGUUUUCGGAUCGUAAAGCUCUGUUGUAAGAGAAGAACGAGUGUGAGAGUGGAAAGUUCACACUGUGACGGUAUCUUACCAGAAAGGGACGGCUAACUACGUGCCAGCAGCCGCGGUAAUACGUAGGUCCCGAGCGUUGUCCGGAUUUAUUGGGCGUAAAGCGAGCGCAGGCGGUUAGAUAAGUCUGAAGUUAAAGGCUGUGGCUUAACCAUAGUAGGCUUUGGAAACUGUUUAACUUGAGUGCAAGAGGGGAGAGUGGAAUUCCAUGUGUAGCGGUGAAAUGCGUAGAUAUAUGGAGGAACACCGGUGGCGAAAGCGGCUCUCUGGCUUGUAACUGACGCUGAGGCUCGAAAGCGUGGGGAGCAAACAGGAUUAGAUACCCUGGUAGUCCACGCUGUAAACGAUGAGUGCUAGGUGUUAGACCCUUUCCGGGGUUUAGUGCCGUAGCUAACGCAUUCAGCACUCCGCCUGGGGAGUACGACCGCAAGGUU
This 549-nucleotide ribosomal RNA is filed under the name uncultured bacterium. RNAcentral describes it as "bacterial SSU rRNA". It matches the Rfam family "Bacterial small subunit ribosomal RNA", at positions 355 to 895 of the family's 1533-position model. The record is from RNAcentral.